RNAcentral lists this ribosomal RNA (506 nucleotides) under uncultured bacterium. RNAcentral describes it as "partial 16S ribosomal RNA". It matches the Rfam family "Bacterial small subunit ribosomal RNA", at positions 29 to 523 of the family's 1533-position model. The record is from RNAcentral.
AGUGAACGCUGGCGGUAGGCCUAACACAUGCAAGUCGAACGGCAGCACAGGAGAGCUUGCUCUCUGGGUGGCGAGUGGCGGACGGGUGAGGAAUACAUCGGAAUCUACUCUGUCGUGGGGGAUAACGUAGGGAAACUUACGCUAAUACCGCAUACGACCUACGGGUGAAAGCAGGGGACCUUCGGGCCUUGCGCGAAUGAAUGAGCCGAUGUCGGAUUAGCUAGUUGGCGGGGUAAAGGCCCACCAAGGCGAGGAUCCGUAGCUGGUCUGAGAGGAUGAUCAGCCACACUGGAACUGAGACACGGUCCAGACUCCUACGGGUGGCAGCAGUGGGGAAUAUUGGACAAUGGGCGCAAGCCUGAUCCAGCCAUACCGCGUGGGUGAAGAAGGCCUUCGGGUUGUAAAGCCCUUUUGUUGGGAAAGAAAUCCAGCUGGCUAAUACCCGGUUGGGAUGACGGCACCCAAAGAAUAAGCACCGGCUAACUUCGUGCCAGCCGCCGCAGUAA